CCCCUAGAUGUUCUGGGCCGCACGCGCGCUACACUGAACAGUUCAACAAGUCUUAACCUUGGCCGAUAGGUCUGGGUAAUCUUUGAACGCUGUUCGUGAUUGGGAUAGACCUUUGCAAUUAUGGGUCUUCAACGAGGAAUUCCUAGUAAACGCAAGUCAUCAGCUUGCAUUGAUUACGUCCCUGCCCUUUGUACACACCGCCCGUCGCUCCUACCGAUUGGAUGAUCCGGUGAGCUAUUCGGACCUUCGCUUCGUCGAUUUUCGGCUUUGUGAGGGAAAGUCUCGCGAACCUUAUCAUCUAGAGGAAGGAGAAGUCGUAACA
Molecule: ribosomal RNA, 322 nt
Filed under: uncultured eukaryote
Lineage: Eukaryota
Description: partial 18S ribosomal RNA
Rfam family: Eukaryotic small subunit ribosomal RNA
Source: RNAcentral